GAGUGCCCUGACUGUAAGACUCUCUGGAUAAGAGUGUCUGCUAAAUGACUAAAA
Salmo salar (Atlantic salmon) is the source of this 54-nucleotide non-coding RNA. The record is from Rfam. Lineage: Eukaryota; Metazoa; Chordata; Actinopteri; Salmoniformes; Salmonidae.